CCUGACUUCCAUUCCGAACUCAGAAGUGAAACGAAUUAGCGCCGAUGGUAGUGUGGGGCUUCCCCAUGUGAGAGUAGGACAUCGCCAGGC
This 90-nucleotide ribosomal RNA is filed under the name Vibrio harveyi. Lineage: Bacteria; Pseudomonadati; Pseudomonadota; Gammaproteobacteria; Vibrionales; Vibrionaceae. RNAcentral also lists the same sequence under 1 other name. The record is from RNAcentral.